This 72-nucleotide transfer RNA is filed under the name Tursiops truncatus (common bottlenose dolphin). Its description in RNAcentral is "tRNA-Asp (GTC) (tRNA-Asp-GTC-10-1)". It matches the Rfam family "tRNA". From Rfam's summary of the family: Transfer RNA (tRNA) molecules are approximately 80 nucleotides in length. Their secondary structure includes four short double-helical elements and three loops (D, anti-codon, and T loops). Further hydrogen bonds mediate the characteristic L-shaped molecular structure. tRNAs have two regions of fundamental functional importance: the anti-codon, which is responsible for specific mRNA codon recognition, and the 3' end, to which the tRNAs corresponding amino acid is attached (by aminoacyl-tRNA synthetases). tRNAs cope with the degeneracy of the genetic code in two manners: having more than one tRNA (with a specific anti-codon) for a particular amino acid; and 'wobble' base-pairing, i.e. permitting non-standard base-pairing at the 3rd anti-codon position. Lineage: Eukaryota; Metazoa; Chordata; Mammalia; Artiodactyla; Delphinidae. The record is from Rfam by way of RNAcentral. RNAcentral also lists the same sequence under 4 other names.
UCCCUGGUGGUCUAGUGGUUAGGAUUUGGCACUGUCAGUGCUGUGGCCCAGGUUCAAUCCCUGGUCAGGGAA